RNAcentral lists this long non-coding RNA (1024 nucleotides) under Pan troglodytes (chimpanzee). RNAcentral describes it as "long non-coding RNA NONPTRT011882". The record is from RNAcentral. Lineage: Eukaryota; Metazoa; Chordata; Mammalia; Primates; Hominidae.
GAGGAGUCUGAGGCAGAUGGGUGGGGUGAGGGGAGCGGGGGGAUUCGCGGGGGCCCGCGGGGGGCACUGGCAGGAUUCGGAAGGGUGCAGUGUGGGAGCUCGGGGGCCGAGGGUGCAUGGCAUGGAGGCAGGAGCGAGGAAGGGGGCCCGAGGAGGGAUAUUUACCGCGAGGAGGCGCGGGAAGUGCUGGCGGAGGUGCUGUGAGGGUGUCUCGGAAAGGUGCUGGGCGAGGGGCGUCCAGGCGAGGGAACCGAGGGGCCUGGGACGUGAGUGCGGAGGGAAGCGGUGUGCAGAAGUGGGGGCUGCCCAGGAGCGGUAGUGACACCCAGACGGCCCGCAGAGGGGCCCGGGCGCGGCGCUGCUGUGAUGGAGACCGGGGAGCGUGGGGAAGGUUCGGAGAGGCCCAGGGCUGCGCUUCCCGGCUUGAGGGGUCCCAGGAGUGAGCGGGAUCGAGAGUGAUCUGUGCAGAGAGGGAGUCUGCGGACCGGGCCAGAGGCUCAGGUUGUUCGGAUGCUGGCGGGACUCGCGUCAGCAUUCGGCCCCAGAGCCCGCGUGAGGGGCGGCGGGUCCUGAAGGACCAACCUCCUGCACGUGAGGGUGUCGUGACUGAGAGGGGCCUGGGCAGUGGGCAUUUUCGGGUGCUGUGCAGCAAGGGGACCGGGGGAGUCCGUCGAGGGCAGAAGAGCGGAAGGCGCUGGUGGCAGACCGAGUCUGGCAGGGACUGUGCUUGUGCAAGGCAGCUGGCCACUGUCAGGCCUAGGACGACGGCCAGAGCGUGGGAGAGACGACAAAGUGCCCCCUCAGCCUGGGAGCGUCGGGGCCUUUGAGCGCCCGCGUCCUCCGCUUCCAACUUGCAGGCCACACUCUGCAGCCCCGUCAGCCUGCACACAGGCCUGUGCUCUUCAAGACCACGCAGGCCUCACCAUUCCCUCUGACAGCUCACUGCUGCCCUUCUUCACACACGCAAGUUCCCUGUGUGACAUCUGAGUUGGUGACUGUGGCUUCAAAUGAUCAGGAAAGUAUG